AUGAACGCUGGCGGCGUGCCUAAUACAUGCCAGUCGCACGCUGGAAAUCUAGCUUGCUAGAUUGAAGGAGUGGCGAACGGGUGAGUAAUACAUAAGCAACCUACCCACGAAGACUGGGAUAAUCUCUGGAAACGGGGACUAAUACCGGAUAGGUAAUCGGAAGGCAUCUUCUGAUUAUUAAAGGUUAAAAACACUGGUGGAUGGGCUUAUGGCGCAUUAGUUAGUUGGUGAGGUAACGGCCCACCAAGACGAUGAUGCGUAGCCGGCCUGAGAGGGUGAACGGCCACAUUGGGACUGAGACACGGCCCAGACUCCUACGGGAGGCAGCAGUAGGGAAUUUUCGGCAAUGGGGGAAACCCUGACCGAGCAACGCCGCGUGAGUGAUGACGGCCUUCGGGUUGUAAAGCUCUGUUGUAAGGGAAGAACGGUAGAUAGAGAAUAUCUAAAUGACGGUACCUUACCAGAAAGCCACGGCUAACUACGUG
RNAcentral lists this ribosomal RNA (485 nucleotides) under uncultured bacterium. RNAcentral's name for it is "partial 16S ribosomal RNA". It matches the Rfam family "Bacterial small subunit ribosomal RNA", at positions 29 to 507 of the family's 1533-position model. The record is from RNAcentral.